Molecule: transfer RNA, 58 nt
Filed under: Angiostrongylus vasorum (French heartworm)
Lineage: Eukaryota; Metazoa; Nematoda; Chromadorea; Rhabditida; Metastrongylidae
Description: tRNA-Ile
Source: RNAcentral
UCAUCUUUAGUAAAAGUGUAAUUAUAUUAUCUUGAUGGGGUAAAGUUGUGAGGUGAAG